This 492-nucleotide ribosomal RNA is filed under the name uncultured bacterium. Its description in RNAcentral is "partial 16S ribosomal RNA". It matches the Rfam family "Bacterial small subunit ribosomal RNA", at positions 29 to 507 of the family's 1533-position model. The record is from RNAcentral.
AGUGAACGCUGGCGGUAGGCCUAACACAUGCCAGUCGAACGGCAGCACAGUAAGCGCUUGCUCUUACGGGUGGCGAGUGGCGGACGGGUGAGGAAUACAUCGGAAUCUACUUUUUCGUGGGGGAUAACGUCGGGAAACAUACGCUAAUACCGCAUACGACCUACGGGUGAAAGCAGGGGAUCUUCGGACCUUGCGCGGUUGAAUGAGCCGAUGUCGGAUUAGCUAGUUGGCGGGGUAAAGGCCCACCAAGGCGACGAUCCGUAGCUGGUCUGAGAGGAUGACCAGCCACACUGGAACUGAGACACGGUCCAGACUCCUACGGGAGGCAGCAGUGGGGAAUAUUGGACAAUGGGCGCAAGCCUGAUCCAGCCAUACCGCGUGGGUGAUGAAGGCCUUCGGGUUGUAAAGCCCUUUUGUUGGGAAAGAAAAGCAGCAGGCUAAUACCCCGCUUCGCUGACGGUACCCAAAGAAUAAGCACCGGCUAACUUCGUG